Molecule: ribosomal RNA, 510 nt
Filed under: Ditomyia fasciata
Lineage: Eukaryota; Metazoa; Arthropoda; Insecta; Diptera; Ditomyiidae
Description: partial 16S ribosomal RNA
Rfam family: Bacterial large subunit ribosomal RNA (bases 387-510)
Source: RNAcentral
GUCUUUUUGAAAUUAAUUUAAAGUCUAACCUGCCCAUUGAAAAUUUUAAAAGGCCGCAGUAUUUUGACUGUGCAAAGGUAGCAUAAUCAUUUGUUUUUUAAUUGAAAACUUGUAUGAAUGGUUGAACGAAAUAUAAACUGUCUUAAUAAAAAUAUAUUUGAAGUUUACUUUUUAAUUAAAAGGUUAAAAUUAAAUUAAAAGACGAGAAGACCCUAUAGAUCUUUAUUUUAAUUAUUUAUUUAAUUUAAUUAUAAAUAUUUAAAUUUUAUAAAAAUUAGAAUUUUAUUGGGGUGAUAAAAAAAUUUAAAAAACUUUUUUAAUUUUUAAACAUAAAUUAAUGAAUAUUUGAUCCAUUAUUAAUGAUUAAUAGAUUAAGUUACCUUAGGGAUAACAGCGUAAUUUUUUUUGAAAGUUCAUAUUUAUAAAAAAGAUUGCGACCUCGAUGUUGGAUUAAGAAAAUUUUUAGGUGCAGAAGUUUAAAAAAUAAGUCUGUUCGACUUUUAAAUUCUU